RNAcentral lists this ribosomal RNA (69 nucleotides) under Pulchrana baramica (masked rough-sided frog). RNAcentral's name for it is "partial 12S ribosomal RNA". The record is from RNAcentral. Lineage: Eukaryota; Metazoa; Chordata; Amphibia; Anura; Ranidae.
GUGAAACCACAGACAUGAAGGCGGAUUUAGCAGUAAAAAGAAACAGAGAGUUCUUUUUAACCCGGCCCU